AACGAACGCUGGCGGCAUGCCUAACACAUGCAAGUCGAACGAGACCUUCGGGUCUAGUGGCGCACGGGUGCGUAACGCGUGGGAACCUGCCCUUAGGUUCGGAAUAACUCCCCGAAAGGGGUGCUAAUACCGGAUAAUGUCUUCGGACCAAAGAUUUAUCGCCUUUGGAUGGGCCCGCGUUGGAUUAGCUAGUUGGUAGGGUAAAAGCCUACCAAGGCGACGAUCCAUAGCUGGUCUGAGAGGAUGAUCAGCCACACUGGGACUGAGACACGGCCCAGACUCCUACGGGAGGCAGCAGUGGGGAAUAUUGAACAAUGGGCGAAAGCCUGAUCCAGCAAUGCCGCGUGAGUGAUGAAGGCCUUAGGGUUGUAAAGCUCUUUUACCCGGGAUGAUAAUGACAGUACCGGGAGAAUAAGCUCCGGCUAACUCCGU
This 432-nucleotide ribosomal RNA is filed under the name uncultured bacterium. RNAcentral's name for it is "partial 16S ribosomal RNA". It matches the Rfam family "Bacterial small subunit ribosomal RNA", at positions 29 to 506 of the family's 1533-position model. The record is from RNAcentral.